This 460-nucleotide ribosomal RNA is filed under the name uncultured bacterium. Its description in RNAcentral is "partial 16S ribosomal RNA". It matches the Rfam family "Bacterial small subunit ribosomal RNA", at positions 338 to 795 of the family's 1533-position model. The record is from RNAcentral.
CCUACGGGGGGCAGCAGUGAGGAAUAUUGGUCAAUGGCCGGAAGGCUGAACCAGCCAUGCCGCGUGAAGGUCAGUGCCCUAUGGGCGUUAAACUUCUUUUGUGCGGGAGCAAUAAUGGUCACGUGUGGCCAGACGAGAGUACCGUACGAAUAAGCAUCGGCUAACUCCGUGCCAGCAGCCGCGGUAAUACGGGGGAUGCAAGCGUUAUCCGGAUUUAUUGGGUUGAAAGGGUGCGUAGGCUGGGAGGUAAGUCAGCGGUGAAAUGCCCCCGCUCAACGGGGUGAAGUGCCAUUGAUACUGCCUGGCUGGAAUGCGGAUGCCGUGGGAGGAAUGUGUGGUGUAGCGGUGAAAUGCAUAGAUAUCACACAGAACACCGAUUGCGAAGGCAUCUCACGAAUCCGCGAUUGACGCUGAUGCACGAAAGCGUGGGUAUCAAACAGGAUUAGAUACCCUAGUAGUC